Molecule: ribosomal RNA, 459 nt
Filed under: uncultured bacterium
Lineage: Bacteria
Description: partial 16S ribosomal RNA
Rfam family: Bacterial small subunit ribosomal RNA
Source: RNAcentral
CCUACGGGCGGCAGCAGUGAGGAAUAUUGGUCAAUGGCCGCAGGGCUGAACCAGCCAAGUCGCGUGAGGGAUGACGGUCCUAUGGAUUGUAAACCUCUUUUGUCAGGGAGCAAAGGGCGCCACGUGUGGCGCUUUGCGAGUACCUGAAGAAAAAGCAUCGGCUAACUCCGUGCCAGCAGCAGCGGUAAUACGGAGGAUGCAAGCGUUAUCCGGAUUUAUUGGGUUUAAAGGGUGCGCAGGCGGAAUGUCAAGUCAGCGGUAAAAUUUCGGGGCUCAACCCCGUCGUGCCGUUGAAACUGGCGUUCUUGAGUGAGCGAGAAGUAUGCGGAAUGCGUGGUGUAGCGGUGAAAUGCAUAGAUAUCACGCAGAACUCCGAUUGCGAAGGCAGCAUACCGGCGCUCAACUGACGCUCAUGCACGAAAGCGUGGGUAUCGAACAGGAUUAGAUACCCCAGUAGUC